CGUGUAGGCGGUAUGGUAAGUCGGAUGUGAAAGCCCUGGGCUCAACCCAGGAAGUGCAUUCGAUACUGCCAUUCUUGAGUAUGGGAGAGGAGAGUGGAAUUCCCAGUGUAGAGGUGAAAUUCGUAGAUAUUGGGAGGAACACCCGUGGCGAAGGCGACUCUCUGGACCAAUACUGACGCUGAGACGCGAAAGCGUGGGGAGCAAACA
Molecule: ribosomal RNA, 207 nt
Filed under: uncultured bacterium
Lineage: Bacteria
Description: partial 16S ribosomal RNA
Rfam family: Bacterial small subunit ribosomal RNA
Source: RNAcentral